Molecule: ribosomal RNA, 485 nt
Filed under: uncultured bacterium
Lineage: Bacteria
Description: partial 16S ribosomal RNA
Rfam family: Bacterial small subunit ribosomal RNA
Source: RNAcentral
AUUGAACGCUGGCGGCAGGCCUAACACAUGCAAGUCGAGCGGAUGAAGGGAGCUUGCUCCUGGAUUCAGCGGCGGACGGGUGAGUAAUGCCUAGGAAUCUGCCUGGUAGUGGGGGGAUAACGUCCGGAAACGGGCGCUAAUACCGCAUACGUCCUGAGGGAGAAAGUGGGGGAUCUUCGGACCUCACGCUAUCAGAUGAGCCUAGGUCGGAUUAGCUAGUUGGUGGGGUAAAGGCCUACCAAGGCGACGAUCCGUAACUGGUCUGAGAGGAUGAUCAGUCACACUGGAACUGAGACACGGUCCAGACUCCUACGGGAGGCAGCAGUGGGGAAUAUUGGACAAUGGGCGAAAGCCUGAUCCAGCCAUGCCGCGUGUGUGAAGAAGGUCUUCGGAUUGUAAAGCACUUUAAGUUGGGAGGAAGGGCAGUAAGUUAAUACCUUGCUGUUUUGACGUUACCAACAGAAUAAGCACCGGCUAACUUCGUG